This 344-nucleotide unclassified non-coding RNA is filed under the name plant metagenome. Its description in RNAcentral is "partial contains small subunit ribosomal RNA, internal transcribed spacer 1, and 5.8S ribosomal RNA". The record is from RNAcentral.
UUUCCGUAGGUGAACCUGCGGAAGGAUCAUUAACGGGAAAUCAAAUCAAAUCAAAACAAAUAUUCUGUUGCACUGGGUGUGCUGUGUGGUGGUGGUGUGAGACAUGGAGAUUCAAUCAUUGGAGAUUCAAUCAUUGGAGAUUCAAUCAUUGGGGAUUCAAUCAUUGGAGAUUCAAUCAUUCAAUCUCAAUCAUUGGAGAUUCAAUCAUUCAAUCUCAAUCAUUCAAUCUCAAUCAUUCAAUCUCAAUCAUCGCCACACAACACAACUAUCUAUCACGCUCGAUCAACAACAACACACUCACACACAACAGCAAACAACUUUUAACAAUGGAUCUCUUGGCUCUU